Molecule: ribosomal RNA, 446 nt
Filed under: uncultured bacterium
Lineage: Bacteria
Description: partial 16S ribosomal RNA
Rfam family: Bacterial small subunit ribosomal RNA
Source: RNAcentral
CCUACGGGAGGCUGCAGUCGAGAAUCUUUCACAAUGGGGGAAACCCUGCUGGUGCGACGCCGCGUGGAGGAAUGAAGGUCUUCGGAUUGUAAACCCCUGUCAUGUGGGAGCAAAUUAACUAGAUAGUACCACUAGAGGAAGAGCAGGCGAACUCUGGGCCCGCAGCCGCGGUAAUCCAGAGGGCUCAAGCGUUGUUCGGAAUCACGGGGCGUAAAGCGUGCGUAGACUGUUUCUUAAGUCGGGUGUGAAUGCUCCUGGCUCAACCGGCGGACUGCACAUGAUACUGCUUGACUAGAGUAAUGGAGGGGGAACCGGAAUUCGCGGUGUAGCAGUGAAAUGCGUAGAUAGCGGGAGGAACACUAGUGGCGAGGGCGAGUUCCUGGACAUUAACUGACGCUGAGGCACGAAGGCCAGGGGAGCGAAAGGGAUUAGAUACCCGUGUAGUC